Molecule: long non-coding RNA, 797 nt
Filed under: Homo sapiens (human)
Lineage: Eukaryota; Metazoa; Chordata; Mammalia; Primates; Hominidae
Description: HSALNT0183778
Source: RNAcentral
GCCGGCUAGUGCCUAACCCUCCUCACUGUGCUGAGACCGAGCCCCGGAAUGAUCUACCGAGACCACCAGGCCAAAGAACGCCACUCCCAAGAGAGAAGAGACAAAGGACAAGAUCCUGCCCCUGGGAGGAGACAAGAGGCGCAAGAUCAGGGACAGGAAAGCGGCGGGGAGCAACGAACCUCUUCUGCGGGGUCAGCCAGGGGCCCGGGUGUGUGUGCUUGUGUUCCGUGUGCACCUGGCUCAGUGUCUGCAUGCACAUGUGAGCGCUGCACCCUCAUGCAGGGCGCUACCCGUGUGUCAGUGGAUAUGGAAGAAGGAGGUGUGAAAAGCUUUGAGGACACAGGCUCAUGGACCACCGGUGUCAGGAUCACCUGGAGCACAUGAUAAGAACUCAGCUUCCGGACUUCACCUCAGAUGCCCCCAGACCUGCUGAAUCACAGCCUGGAAGCAGGGCCCGAGAGUAGAGCCUCUGCAAAGCCCCUGAGGCUCAGGCACAGCUUGGGGAGCCACGGCCCUUGUAGGAGCAGGGACCAUACUCCAAACCACAAACCUUCUCUCCAGAUGACCAGGUGUCCUCAGACACACACAAGCUCUGUGACCUGUUGCUAGAGGAACCCCUGUGCUGGCCGAGCUGGGCCUGAACUGUGAACCAGGCUCUGCCAAUCACUCAUUAUGGGAACCCUAGCAAGUCACCUUGCACAUGUGCCUCCAUUUCUGCAGCCACAAAGUGGGGCUUGAUACUUGUUAUCUCGUCUCAUGAUUAUGAUAUAAGGUUCAAAGGAGAAAAGAAAAAUGGA